This 465-nucleotide ribosomal RNA is filed under the name uncultured bacterium. Its description in RNAcentral is "partial 16S ribosomal RNA". It matches the Rfam family "Bacterial small subunit ribosomal RNA", at positions 28 to 507 of the family's 1533-position model. The record is from RNAcentral.
GACGAACGCUGGCUGCGUGCUUAACACAUGCAAGUCGAACGGAAAGGCCCUGCUUGCAGGGUACUCGAGUGGCCAACGGGUGCGUAACACGUUGAUGCUCUUCCCUGCACUUCGGGAUAAACCUGUGAAACUUGGUCUAAUACCGUAUUGCAUCCAUUCUUCGUGUGAUGGUUUCAAAGUUUUUUCGGUGUAGGCUGAGCUCGCGGCCUAUCAGCUUGUUGGUGGGGUAAUGGCCUACCAAGGCGCCGACGGGUAGCCGGCCUGAGAGGGUGGACGGCCACAUUGUGAAAGAGAUAAGGCCCAGACGCCGAGGGGAGGAAGCAGUGGGGAAUAUGGCACAAUGGGCGCAAGCCUGAUGCAGCGACGACGCGUGGGGGAUGACGGCCUUCGGGUUGUAAACUGCUUUAGCGAGGGACGAAGCCUUUUGUGACGGUACCUAGAUAAGAAGCACCGGCUAACUACGUG